Molecule: long non-coding RNA, 909 nt
Organism: Artibeus jamaicensis (Jamaican fruit-eating bat)
Lineage: Eukaryota; Metazoa; Chordata; Mammalia; Chiroptera; Phyllostomidae
Exons: 3
Source: RefSeq, a predicted model, not a curated record
CUGAAACCAAACCGGUUUGACUCAGUUUCCAGUGAGAAGAUGUGGUUACUGCCCAGAACCAGGAGACACCAAGUUACAUGGCUCAGAAGUGAGAGGUCCCCAACCCAGGCUGCCAGGCACGAGGUCGCCUAACUGGCAUGAGCGGCUUGGCCAGAGACGGCCCUGGGAGGUGAGGACACAGGGUCACAGGCGCUGACGUCGGACUUCGCGCAGUGCUCCACCCCAAAGCUCGGGCUGGCGAAGACCUUAUCACCAGGUGUGAUGAACAAAAAUGACACCUGUGAAAUAACCUCCGACGCCCUUGAAGUGACAGAAGCAGAGGGGACACACGAUGCCCGGGAAAGCCCUUGGCCUGACCACCAGCACCAGCCACCGCAGGCAGGAAGCCGCUCAGCCUGCCCUGGGGAGGCGUCCUUGCUGGGGAAGCAGACACUUGAUGGUUUGCUUUGACUCCAUGAAUUUGCUGGAAGAUCCCGGACAGGGAUGCCUGUUGCAAUGUGUCAGUGGGAUGCCAAUGACUGAGCACUUACCUGGCAGUGAGACCGCCCUUCUGCACACAGCUCCCCCUGCUGGACCGAGUCUAGUGACCACGGCCUCCUGCUGCACAGAAGGUCGGAGCUUUGCCCGGAUUUUCAGCAGAAAGCCUAGUUUUUACUUGUACAGUCUCUGUACCUAGUUUUCCUGCCUUUAUUUUUUCAAGCCAGUUUUAUUGAUAUAGUAUUCACAUAUCUUAAAACCUACCCACUUAAAGCGUAUAGUUCAGCCCUAGCUAGGUGGCUUAGCUGGUUGGCACAUCGUCCCAUACGCCUCAAGGUUGAGGGUUCAAUCCCCACUCAGGGCACCUACCUAGGUUGCAGUUUCGACCCCUGGUUGAAGUGUGACAGGAAGCAACCGAUUAAUGUUUCUCUC